This 527-nucleotide ribosomal RNA is filed under the name uncultured bacterium. RNAcentral's name for it is "bacterial SSU rRNA". It matches the Rfam family "Bacterial small subunit ribosomal RNA", at positions 355 to 896 of the family's 1533-position model. The record is from RNAcentral.
UGGGGAAUAUUGGACAAUGGACCAAAAGUCUGAUCCAGCAAUUCUGUGUGCACGAUGACGUUUUUCGGAAUGUAAAGUGCUUUCAGUUGGGAAGAAAAAAAUGACGGUACCAACAGAAGAAGUGACGGCUAAAUACGUGCCAGCAGCCGCGGUAAUACGUAUGUCACAAGCGUUAUCCGGAUUUAUUGGGCGUAAAGCGCGUCUAGGUGGUUAUGUAAGUCUGAUGUGAAAAUGCAGGGCUCAACUCUGUAUUGCGUUGGAAACUGCAUGACUAGAGUACUGGAGAGGUAAGCGGAACUACAAGUGUAGAGGUGAAAUUCGUAGAUAUUUGUAGGAAUGCCGAUGGGGAAGCCAGCUUACUGGACAGAUACUGACGCUAAAGCGCGAAAGCGUGGGUAGCAAACAGGAUUAGAUACCCUGGUAGUCCACGCUGUAAACGAUGAAUACUAGGUGUCGGGGAGCAAAGCUUCUCGGUGCCGUCGCAAACGCAAUAAGUAUUCCACCUGGGGAGUACGUUCGCAAGAAUG